AGAAAAAGGCAAACCUGUUGAAAGAUGGGGGCGCAAAGUCUCAGGUCUAAGGUAGGGAACUAUGACGGCUGGACUGCUGA
Molecule: non-coding RNA, 80 nt
Filed under: Robertmurraya massiliosenegalensis
Lineage: Bacteria; Bacillati; Bacillota; Bacilli; Caryophanales; Bacillaceae
Description: Cyclic di-GMP-I riboswitch
Rfam family: c-di-GMP-I riboswitch aptamer
About the family: GEMM was predicted in a large-scale screen for bacterial structured RNA regulatory elements. Genes associated with GEMM are involved in a diverse array of functions, including chemotaxis regulation, signal transduction, secretion and chitin.
Source: RNAcentral